UACGUAGGGGCCAGCGUUGCUCGGAAUUACUGGGCGUAAAGGGUUCGUAGGUGGUGCGGCAAGUUGGGAGUGAAAUCUCUGGGCUUAACCCAGAGGCUGCUUUCAAAACUGCCGUGCUCGAGUGCGAGAGGGGUCAGUGGAAUUGCAGGUGUAGCGGUGAAAUGCGUAGAUAUCUGCAGGAACACCCGUGGCGAAAGGCGGCUGACUGGAUCGCAACUGACACUGAGGAACGAAAGCUAGGGGAGCAA
This 248-nucleotide ribosomal RNA is filed under the name uncultured bacterium. RNAcentral's name for it is "partial 16S ribosomal RNA". It matches the Rfam family "Bacterial small subunit ribosomal RNA", at positions 524 to 771 of the family's 1533-position model. The record is from RNAcentral.